Molecule: ribosomal RNA, 234 nt
Filed under: uncultured Candidatus Saccharibacteria bacterium
Lineage: Bacteria; Candidatus Saccharimonadota
Description: partial 16S ribosomal RNA
Rfam family: Bacterial small subunit ribosomal RNA
Source: RNAcentral
UAAGCAUACGGUGAAAGCGUUCGGCUCAACCGAAUAUACAUCGUAUGAACUGCUAAGCUAGAAUAUAGAAGAGGUAGCUGGAAUUCCCUGUGUAGGAGUGAAAUCCGUAGAUAUAGGGAGGAACACCGAUGGCGUAGGCAGGCUACUGGUCUAUUAUUGACACUAAGGCACGAAAGCGUGGGAGCGAACAGGAUUAGAUACCCUGGUAGUCCACGCUGUAAACGAUGGAUGCUA